UAUGCCACAAUCAUCUUCCUCCUCUUCUUCAUCCUCCUCCAAAUUCACCUAUAACGUGUUCCUAAGUUUCAGAGGAGCUGACACUCGCCAUGGUUUUACCGGCAAUCUUUACGAUGCUCUAUGUAAAAGUGGAGUCCACACUUUCAAGGAUGACGAGGAGCUUCAACGAGGGGGUGAAAUAACAGCAUCACUUAUGAAAGCCAUUGAAGAGUCCAGAAUUUUCAUCCCUGUUUUCUCAAAGAACUAUGCUUCUUCUUCAUUUUGUUUGGACGAACUUGUCCACAUCAUUCGUUACUCCAAGUCAAAGGGACGCCUGGUUCUACCAGUUUUCUAUGAUAUUGCUCCUACUCAUGUACGAAAGCAGACUGGGAGCAUCGGUGAAGAACUUGCGAAGCAUCAAGAGAAGUUCCAAAAGAAUAUGGAAAGGCUGCAGGAAUGGAAGAUGGCUCUUAAAGAAGCAGCUGAGCUUUCCGGCCACCACUUCAAUCUUGCGGGGUACUCCACUUCAUUCUUUGUUUCUUAUAUUAUCCAUUGUCUCAUCAUUUAAUCUUAUAACUUGAAUGGGAAAAGAUUUUAGAAUUAAUUGAAUCUUAGGGAUAAUAACGAUCAUCAUACGGGUUCAGUAAGUUUUUGAUUUUAUAUAAAUCUCAACUUUCGUUUUUUGUUCUCUAAAAAUUUACAGACGACCUGACAUUCGCGAUGGUUUUACCGGCAAUCUUUACGAUGCUCUACGUAAAAGUGGAGUCCACACUUUCAUGGAUGACGAAGAGCUUCAACGAGGGGGUGAAAUAACACCAUCGCUUGUGAAAGCCAUUGAAGAAUCCAGAAUUUUC
This 833-nucleotide long non-coding RNA is filed under the name Medicago truncatula (barrel medic). Its description in RNAcentral is "long non-coding RNA (MTRU_LNC003792)". The record is from RNAcentral. Lineage: Eukaryota; Viridiplantae; Streptophyta; Magnoliopsida; Fabales; Fabaceae.